UCUGCGGUCCCCUUCCACGUGGCUUCCGGUUGGCAGUGCUUUCGGCCGCCGCUGCUGCUGUUUACGCUCUUCUCUCGUCUCGGCGACGUCGGGCUGAUCGGGCACCGCAGCAGCAGCUAUGGCGCUGAAACGUCGAACGGGCUCCAAGAACCCUCCCAUUUUCAGCCACGAGUUCGUCAUCCAGAAUCAUGCCGACAUCGUGUCCUGCGUGGCCAUGCUUUUCGUCAUGGGUCUCCUUUUCCAAGUUACCGCACCAUAUGCUUCGGUUUUCAUCGCUGUCCACCACAACACCACCGACGGCAUGGAGACGCAAGGUGUGGUGAACUACACGUACGGUGCCAAGGAUGUCUGCCUGACCUUCUUCUACUUCCUCAUUGCCAUCGUCAUGCAUGCCAUCAUCCAGGAAUACCUGCUUGACAAACUGAACCGCAAGAUGCACCUGUCCAAGAUGAAGCACAGCAAGUUCAACGAGUCGGGCCAGCUGCUCAUCUUCUGCCUCGCCUCUUUCCUCUGGGGGGCCGAGAUCAUCCGCAAGGAAGGAUAUCUUCCCAGCAUCAACAAGCUAUGGGAGGGCUACCCGCAUAAUGAGAUGUCGUUCAUGUUCAAGUUCUACUUCAUCAUCCAGCUGGCUUACUGGCUGCACUGCUACCCUGAGCUGUACUUCCAGAAGACCAAGAAGGACGAGAUGUCUGCACGCAUCACCACAGCCACGCUUCCUCUCAUCUUCUUCCUCGUGUCGUACAUUCUCAACUUCUCGAGGAUAGCACUGUGCCUUUCGGUGAUGCACUACCUGGUGGAGACGGUGUUCCAUGCCUCCCGGCUGCUGCUCUUUGCCGAGCGCACCAAGGCCUCCGACUACGGGUACGCGGUGUGGAACGUGCUGUUUGUGCUGGUACGGCUGGCGUCGAUCACGCUGUCCGUGCUCACCUUCUGGUAUGGCCUGGCCCAGCAAGAAAAUGCAGCCCUGCCUAUUGGCCUGGCCACAGGCAACUUUAACACCAAGCUCAUCAGGGUGAACUGCACUGUGGCAGUGUGUCUUCUUCAGGCGUGGAUGAUGUGGAACUUUGUCAACUUCCACCUGCAACUGAGGAGGGAGCGUGCCGAGGCACAGCAGAGCUCGGGUCCGGCUGCCAAAAAGAAGGCAGUCGCUCGUAAAGACCGCAAGGCCAAGAAGGAUGAAUAACAAUUGUCCAAAUUGUCUAGAAUUCUCGAAAUGCAGUUCAUGUUACGGAGCGACCAAGCGAGCAGCGGACGAGGAUGUCAACGAACUGCCCGAGGUGGACCAGAACGCUAAAAAGGAGCUCCGUUCUCGCCACCUCGCCAGUCCCAAGGCGAAGAGGAGUUAAUGUCUGCCUCCUUAAUGAAUGUUUUUCUUUUCUUUCUUUCUCUCGGCCAUUCUCAAGCUUCUCUAUCUUUUAUUCUUUCCUUUCACUCUACGUUCUCACACUGGACUCCCUCUUUGAUUUGAACUUUUUCCUGGCUGCAAGAGUUGUUCCUUUUGGUUGUUCUUUACUUCCAAGGCCUCAUGAAAAUCUGUUGUUCUUUCACUUGACACAGUCCAGAAGCAAGGUUCUGUCAGUGCAAGGAAUUUCCCCAGUGAGCUGUACCAGUUUCUGAUCUCAAAACCCAUGGUGGGAACAGAAAGGGCUUUGGCUUUCUCGGCUUGUAAUGUCCAUAUUAUGACAAGAGGGUGAAACUGUCCGUGUUCCGCUCACACUUUACUGCCAAAUUUGCAAUGCAAGCAGGAACUGGACCAAUACUUACUGUAGAAGCUAGCUUGUAAGGAAGCUGGGACAAGUUGCAAAGCAAGUGAAGCCAGACAGAGUAGGUGGGGCUCUCGUACUCACCCGCAUAUAUUUUCUAUGUGAGUAUGUUGGCAGUGCGGUGCGACAAGAAUUGAGCUUGACUGUCUCAUAUUCUUAGUUUACCGACUGACUACACCUCUGGUGUUUCAGUUAUAGACGUUUUGUAAUUACAGUCACUGUAGGAAGGGUGCAUAAGUUGGCCUGCAGCAGUACGACACUGCCCUAAAGCCAGGUACACUUGUCACAAGUGUAAUACGUGAGUACCUUGAACAUAGCAUUGUUUUAAAUUUGAAUGAAAGAAGUACGCCACACGGGCAAAGUCUUUCACUGCUUAGCACAUUUACUCUUAUUGGUCCAUUACAAGGUGAACAAAGGAAAACGGAGAAAGCGCUGUAGUGCCGUCUCGUAUGGCCUCUUGAACAACUGAACGAACUAGGGCACUGGGUGUGGCCCAAGAAGUGACAACCAAGACACACAUACUUAGGCCUUCCACAGCGAUUUUGUAUGUGGCAUCCUCCUUUGCCAUUUUGUUGUUUUAUGCUUCCUCACGGUAUCACCAUGGUGACAAGGAAGAGCACCCACAAAUUGUUCACUCACGCAUACUUCCAGCAUACAUGCCUUUCCACUAACGCCCAGUUAUUGCACGAAGCCACUGAAAGGUUCACCCUUGAACUGUGCUUGAUCAGGGAAGUUUCUGCGGUAGCCACAAAUCGAAGGGACUGUCUCUUUGGUUCUUCCAUUCACUUCCUUUUUGUCUUUAAAUUUCAAGAGGACCACAUGCUUCAUUGACGGAAGUGUCUUGUUCACUUGUUGUUGUGCAAAAGAUGUUCUUCUCACUGGCAGCACCAAUUCCUUCUUUCUUUCCUUCUUGGUAACUGUAUUCUUUGUCUUCUGCCUUUCCCACUUUAUUUUCCUCUUGUAAAACCUGGUGAUCUGCUACACAAUUGGUUUCAUACCUACUAGGCAAUGUUACCAAUGCACACAUUCAUGGUGCAGCCAUGCAUUGUAUAAUGUAAUGAAAUGCUAAAUAGACUGAUGCCACAAAAUAUGACUUGACUGUCAUGCAGAGGCAAGCCUUUCACAGAUCUGAACCAUUGAAGAAGUGGAGUGACAUCUAGCGACCAGCAGCCAUAGCACACUUUGUAGCAGGCCCGUAGCCAGGGGGUGGGGCCAGGGCCCUCCCCGAAAUUUUUAUGAUACAUGGUGUUUUACCGAAAAUAAAUAACGAAAAUAGGCGUUUUUCUCAAAUAGUCAAGGCUUUCAGCAAGUGGCCCCCCCCCCCCCCGAAAAAAAUUCCUGGCUACAGGCCUGCUUUGUAGUAACGUUUCUGCCCAGAACAUGGUAAUUGUAUGUGCUGGAACCACAACGGUGCAAAUGUUAGUUCUAGCAUAUGAAGUAGUUCUUUCAUGGAACGCAUUGCAGGUCGAUAACAACCACACUGCAAAACGAGACUGCUUAAUUUGGGCGACUUUUGCAUCAUUGCCUGCUAUGUAUGAAACGGUGCCAGCCAUUCAUCUUGUCUGCUCGAAGCGUACACACCACCCACAUGCUCCACAGAGUGAGAAUUACAAAGCCAUCUUUUCUUUGUAAUAAAAUGAAUUUUUUUUCCAUAA
This is an RNA transcript of Rhipicephalus sanguineus (brown dog tick), 3418 nucleotides long. It is a transcript of the gene named translocating chain-associated membrane protein 1, with no coding region annotated. NCBI's taxonomy places the organism in Eukaryota, Metazoa, Arthropoda, Arachnida, Ixodida, Ixodidae. The record is from RefSeq and is a predicted model, not a curated record. The transcript has 12 exons.